Molecule: ribosomal RNA, 409 nt
Filed under: uncultured microorganism
Description: bacterial SSU rRNA
Rfam family: Archaeal small subunit ribosomal RNA
Source: RNAcentral
GUGCAGCAGGCGAGAAACUUUACAAUGUGCGAAAGCACGAUAAGGGAACUCUGAGUGCCUCCUAAGGAGGCUGUUCUGAUGUCUAAAAAGCAACAGAAGUAAGGGCUGGGUAAGACCGGUGCCAGCCGCCGCGGUAACACCGGCAGCCCAAGUGGUAGCCACGUUUAUUGGGUCUAAAGCGUUCGUAGCCGGCCAGGUAAGUUCCUUGGUAAAUUUAGCCGCUUAACGGUUAAGCUUUCAGGGAAUACUGCUUGGCUUGGGACUGGGAGAGGUCAGAGGUACUCCGGGGGUAGGGGUGAAAUCUAUUAAUCCCUGGGGGACCACCGGUAGCGAAGGCGUCUGACCAGACCAGGUCCGACGGUGAGGGACGAAGGCUAGGGGCGCGAACCGGAUUAGAUACCCGCGUAGU